RNAcentral lists this long non-coding RNA (245 nucleotides) under Physcomitrium patens. Its description in RNAcentral is "long non-coding RNA (PPAT_LNC005322)". The record is from RNAcentral. Lineage: Eukaryota; Viridiplantae; Streptophyta; Bryopsida; Funariales; Funariaceae.
UCAACAUUUGUAAAGUGAAAACUGCAUCUAUAAAGCUUUUAGAAAGCUUCUUUGAAAGAUAUCAAGAAAUUAAUCUACUUUGAUCUACUUCUAUCUAAUUAUAUAGAUAAUUAUUAGAAUAAUAUGUAUGUUUAUGAUAUCUAUUUAAAAGAUCCUAACAAGAUAUAUACCAAAACAACAUAUUUAUAUAUAAUCCUUAAAUUCAAGAUUGUAUUUUAAAAUGUAUAGUUGUUAGUAUAUAAAUA